UACAGAGGCCCCGAGCGUUAAUCGGAAUUACUGGGCGUAAAGCGCACGCAGGCGGUCUGUCACGUCGGAUGUGAAAUCCCCGGGCUCAACCUGGAACUGCAUCCGAAACUGGCAGGCUAGAGUCUUGUAGAGGGGGGUAGAAUUCCAGGUGUAGCGGUGAAAUGCGUAGAGAUCUGGAGGAAUACCGGUGGCGAAGGCGGCCCCCUGGACAAAGACUGACGCCCAGGUGCGAAAGCGUGAGGAGCAAACAGG
RNAcentral lists this unclassified non-coding RNA (252 nucleotides) under uncultured Enterobacteriaceae bacterium. Its description in RNAcentral is "contains 16S-23S intergenic spacer region". It matches the Rfam family "Bacterial small subunit ribosomal RNA", at positions 524 to 776 of the family's 1533-position model. Lineage: Bacteria; Pseudomonadati; Pseudomonadota; Gammaproteobacteria; Enterobacterales; Enterobacteriaceae. The record is from RNAcentral.